UGGGGAAUCUUGGACAAUGGGCGCAAGCCUGAUCCAGCCAUGCCGCGUGAGUGAUGAAGGCCUUAGGGUUGUAAAGCUCUUUUGCCGGGGACGAUAAUGACGGUACCCGGAGAAUAAGUCCCGGCUAACUUCGUGCCAGCAGCCGCGGUAAUACGAAGGGGACUAGCGUUGUUCGGAAUCACUGGGCGUAAAGCGCACGUAGGCGGAUUUGUAAGUCAGGGGUGAAAUCCCGGGGCUCAACCUCGGAACUGCCUUUGAUACUGCGGAUCUCGAGUCCGAUAGAGGUGAGUGGAAUUCCUAGUGUAGAGGUGAAAUUCGUAGAUAUUAGGAAGAACACCGGUGGCGAAGGCGGCUCACUGGAUCGGUACUGACGCUGAGGUGCGAAAGCGUGGAGAGCAAACAGGAUUAGAUACCCUAGUAGUCCCUGAGCGGGCUGGCAAGGCGCAU
Molecule: ribosomal RNA, 447 nt
Filed under: uncultured bacterium
Lineage: Bacteria
Description: bacterial SSU rRNA
Rfam family: Bacterial small subunit ribosomal RNA
Source: RNAcentral